This 400-nucleotide ribosomal RNA is filed under the name uncultured bacterium. RNAcentral describes it as "bacterial SSU rRNA". It matches the Rfam family "Bacterial small subunit ribosomal RNA", at positions 357 to 774 of the family's 1533-position model. The record is from RNAcentral.
GGGAAUAUUGGACAAUGGGCGCAAGCCUGAUCCAGCAAUGCCGCGUGAGUGAUGAAGGCCUUAGGGUCGUAAAGCUCUUUUACCCGGGAUGAUAAUGACAGUACCGGGAGAAUAAGCCCCGGCUAACUCCGUGCCAGCAGCCGCGGUAAUACGGAGGGGGCUAGCGUUGUUCGGAAUUACUGGGCGUAAAGCGCACGUAGGCGGUUAUUCAAGUCAGAGGUGAAAGCCCGGGGCUCAACCCCGGAACGGCCUUUGAAACUAGAUGACUAGAAUCUUGGAGAGGCGAGUGGAAUUCCGAGUGUAGAGGUGAAAUUCGUAGAUAUUCGGAAGAACACCAGUGGCGAAGGCGACUCGCUGGACAAGUAUUGACGCUGAGGUGCGAAAGCGUGGGGAGCAAACA